AAAAGACUUAGUCCUAACCUUGCUAUUGAUUUUUGCUAGACAUAUACAUGCAAGUAUCUGCACGCCAGUGAAAAUGCCCUAACAUCUUUGACAAGAAAAAGGAGCAGGUAUCAGGCACACCCAUGAGUAGCCCAAAACACCUUGCCACAGCCACACCCCCACGGGUAUUCAGCAGUAAUUAACCUUAAGCAAUAAGUGUAAACUUGACUUAGCCAUAGCAAUCCUCAGGGUUGGUAAAUCUUGUGCCAGCCACCGCGGUCAUACAAGAAACCCGAAUCAAUAGCCAACCGGCGUAAAGAGUGGCCAUAUGUUAUCCUCAUUACCUAAGAUCGAAGUGCAACUAAGCUGUCAUAAGCCCAAGAUCCACUUAAGGCCCCCUCCCAACCAUCUUAGCCUAACGACUAAUUUCACCCCACGAAAGCCAGGACACAAACUGGGAUUAGAUACCCCACUAUGCCUGGCCCUAAAUCUAGAUGCCUGCAUACCCAUGCAUCCGCCCGAGAACUACGAGCACAAACGCUUAAAACUCUAAGGACUUGGCGGUGCCCCAAACCCACCUAGAGGAGCCUGUUCUGUAAUCGAUAGUCCACGAUUCACCCAACCACCCCUUGCCAACACAGCCUACAUACCGCCGUCGCCAGCUCACCUAAAAUGAAAGACCAACAGUGGGCCCAACAGUCAUACCACUAGCAAGACAGGUCAAGGUAUAGCCCAUGGGGUGGAAGAAAUGGGCUACAUUUUCUAACAUAGAAUAAACGAAAAAGGGCGUGAAACCCGUCCUUGGAAGGAGGAUUUAGCAGUAAAGUAGGACCAUUUUCCUAAGCCUACUUUAAGACGGCCCUGGGGCACGUACAUACCGCCCGUCACCCUCUUCGUAGGCUACCAGUACUAAUAAAUAAUACCCAUAUUAAGCCAAAGACGAGGUAAGUCGUAACAAGGUAAGCGUACCGGAAGGUGCGCUUAGACCAC
Molecule: non-coding RNA, 969 nt
Filed under: Chrysolophus pictus (golden pheasant)
Lineage: Eukaryota; Metazoa; Chordata; Aves; Galliformes; Phasianidae
Description: 12S ribosomal RNA
Rfam family: Bacterial small subunit ribosomal RNA
Source: RNAcentral